UACUCCUACGGGAGGCAGCAGUGGGGAAUAUUGGACAAUGGACCGAGAGUCUGAUCCAGCAAUUCUGUGUGCACGAUGAAGUUUUUCGGAAUGUAAAGUGCUUUCAGUUGGGAAGAAAGAAAUGACGGUACCAACAGAAGAAGUGACGGCUAAAUACGUGCCAGCAGCCGCGGUAAUACGUAUGUCACGAGCGUUAUCCGGAUUUAUUGGGCGUAAAGCGCGUCUAGGUGGUUAUGUAAGUCUGAUGUGAAAAUGCAGGGCUCAACUCUGUAUUGCGUUGGGAACUGUAUAACUAGAGUACUGGAGAGGUAAGCGGAACUACAAGUGUAGAGGUGAAAUUCGUAGAUAUUUGUAGGAAUGCCGAUGGGGAAGCCAGCUUACUGGACAGAUACUGACGCUGAAGCGCGAAAGCGUGGGUAGCAAACAGGAUUAGAUACCCUGGUAGUCCACGCCGUAAACGAUGAUUACUAGGUGUUGGGGGUCGAACCUCAGCGCCCAAGCAAACGCGAUAAGUAAUCCGCCUGGGGAGUACGUACGCAAGUAUGAAACUCAAAGGAAUUGACGGA
RNAcentral lists this ribosomal RNA (566 nucleotides) under uncultured bacterium. Its description in RNAcentral is "bacterial SSU rRNA". It matches the Rfam family "Bacterial small subunit ribosomal RNA", at positions 334 to 917 of the family's 1533-position model. The record is from RNAcentral.